Non-coding RNA from Osmia lignaria (orchard mason bee), 4188 nucleotides. The record is from RefSeq and is a predicted model, not a curated record. NCBI's taxonomy places the organism in Eukaryota, Metazoa, Arthropoda, Insecta, Hymenoptera, Megachilidae.
UUUGGGGCCACGCGGCGGCACCAGUCGCUCUUCUCAAACCGCGAAACACGUCCCGGCCUCCUCGAGGACGAGCUUCCAGUUCUAUAUCCUUCUAUCCCUGUUUCUCGCUCUCUCUCCUCUCUUUCGUUCUCUCUGUAUUCGUCGCGAGUCAUCGUAUGACCGUCUUGUGUACGUGUGUCAGGUGAAUAUUCAGGAACCAUCCUGCUCCCUCUUCGUCCCGCCGCGUUUCCGGAAGUCUAAGCUCAAACGGAACCCCGCAUAAAAUACCCCUGCGAAAACAAGGACGGAGAGCUAGCCUGAAUGUUUCUUCGACGAGAUUCAGCGGAAACCUGCUGGUUCCUUAGCUGUUCGAGGAGCUGAAAUACACCGACGACCUUGGGAAGGACCAAACUCGAGGAAAGUCUCGGAGGAAGAAGAAAAAGAAGGAAAAUCGAUCCUGAAGAAACUUUCUUCUCCCGAGGUGGUUCUUGUGUACUCCUUUUGGAAGUUCAGUUUCCUAUCGAGUUACGUUCGUGAAUUAUUGACCGCAGGGUGUUAAAUACGAUCACAUGGAUGUAUAUUACGGUAGCAGUAGGGUCAACGUGUUAAUUAAGGAUCAUACAUUCGCGGUGGUGACUGCAGUGUUAGCGUUCUCUGUGCUAAGUAAAUAUCCAUUCGAAUUGUACGGUAUCCACGCUCACGAUUACCCCGGACUGAAUUAUUUUCCGGGAUUAAUUGUGCGUACUUAAUUUGAACCUUGGCUGAAACGAUAAAUCUGCCGACGCUGGAUCCACCUCUUGGGGUUAGGUUCAUGCUGAACAGAAUCUGCAGGAUUCGGAUACCAGAUCAGCAAGAAGACAGUGUCGUCCGCCUAAGCCUGUCUAAUGUAACCACCUUGGAAAGCUAAGAUCGACGAGGCUAUGAAUAUCGAGUAACCCGGCCGGUAGAUGUCGUAGAAUCUUGGUUAGAAAUCGGCCGAGUUGCGGUUCCCGCGGGAAGAUGAGAGGCCGGACGGGAAUCGGUCGGAAGAAACGCGGCGUCGACGGAUCGGCGACCUGACGAGAAGCUGGCAACGAUCGAAGGGGACGAUUAAAGCUUCGUUUGUGGAAAAAAUGAACGAAAGCGCGGUCUAUCUGCUCGGAUCGGAAGAAGAGGCAAUCGUACCGAGCAAUCAUUUGAACAGAAGCUUCUACAACGCGGUAUAUCCGGCACAGAAUCGUACAUACGAGGAUCUGUGGAACUUGGCAACGGACAGAGCCGGUCUGGCGAUACUCUUGUUCCUGUUCUCGGUAGCCACUGUGUUUGGUAACAUGCUGGUAAUCCUAGCUGUGGUCAGAGAGAGAUAUCUUCACACGGCUACCAAUUACUUCGUCACGUCGUUGGCGUUCGCCGAUUGUCUAGUCGGAUUGGUGGUGAUGCCGUUCAGCGCGAUUUACGAGGUCCUGGAGAAUCGUUGGUUGUUCACGACCGAUUGGUGCGACGUAUGGAGAUCGUUGGACGUUCUAUUCUCGACCGCCUCGAUCCUCAAUCUCUGCGUGAUCAGUUUGGAUCGUUAUUGGGCGAUCACCGAUCCGUUCACUUAUCCAAGUAGAAUGAGCCGUAAAAGAGCGGCUAUAUUGAUCGCGAUCGUAUGGAUCUGUUCGAGCGCGAUCUCGUUUCCAGCGAUCGCUUGGUGGCGCGCGGUCCGAACCGAAGAGGUGCCGGAGGACAAAUGCCCGUUCACCGAACACUUGGGUUACUUGAUCUUCUCGUCGACCAUCAGUUUCUAUUUGCCGCUGUUCGUGAUGGUUUUCACCUACUACAAGAUCUACAGAGCGGCUGUGUUCCAGACCAAGAGCCUGAAGCUAGGCACCAAACAGGUGAUAAUGGCGUCCGGUGAACUGGAACUUACUCUGAGGAUACAUCGAGGAGGCGGUACGAACACGGAUGCCAGGCAUCUGUUCCGUACUGCCUCGAGCACACCGGAGGAUCUACAAGAUCUCGAGGAGCCUCUCACAGCCAUGCACAAUAACUGUCUGACCCGGGUGCCGUCCACGAGGAUAACCAAACAACAUCUGGGAAAAAACUUCUCGCUGUCGCGGAAACUGGCGAAAUUCGCGAAGGAGAAGAAAGCCGCCAAGACGCUUGGCAUCGUGAUGGGCGUGUUCAUCAUAUGUUGGCUACCGUUCUUCGUGGUGAAUCUGUGGUCAGGAUUCUGCUCCCAGUGUAUAUGGCAAGAGGAGAUCGUGUUCGCGGCGGUUACGUGGCUCGGCUGGAUCAACAGCGGAAUGAAUCCGGUGAUUUACGCUUGUUGGAGCAGAGAUUUUCGAAGAGCUUUCGUGAGAAUCUUGUGCGCCUGCUGUCCCAGACGGAUGAGACGGCGAUAUCAGCCCGCAUUCAGAUGUAAACCAAGUCAAAGAUUCGCAUCCGGAAGAUACUACUCCGCGUACUCGUUGCACCACGUUCGAGGGAGCCGAGAGAGCUCGUGCGAGCAAACCUACAUUUAACGAUGGGAUAUCGUUGGAAUCGUUGGAAUCGUUGGACACCUACUCGAAAGCAUCUUUCUAGUAUCUCAUUCUUGUCCCCCCGUCCUUGGGCAUCGAAAUUUCGUCAGUCCCGAGACAACCCUGUCCCUUGUAAUCGCCCGGAGACACAUUUAGUAAAGAGAGAUACCUAUCGGCGAGAAGGACUCUAUCACCAUCCCGUAAUCAUACAUAGUUUUGUACGUUUCCGGAGCGAAUACCGGCGGCCAGGCGAGCAGCGUCAGCUACAGCAGCGUCAGUCAGAGUAGCGACGGAGGAGUCGCGACUGGACUACCCAGCGGAGGGAUGUGACGUCACACGGGGGCCCGGCCCGGGCCUCGUCGCGAACGCGCGAUCCGUUUCCGGGAUACGUGAUUGUAGACUAAUUUUCGAUUUAAACCUGGAUUAAACUCCUACGAAUGGUUCAGGUCGAGAAGGCAGGAAGAAACUAAAUGGAAUCCCGAAGCGACAACAGCUCACCGGUCCCCCCUCCUCCUCCUUCUAAUCAAAGGACAAACCGAGAGCUGGUGCGGAGACAUCACGAAAUCACCCUUACGUAUUUAUUAUCCUAUCGUCGAGUUUUACGUGACGAAAAGUGGACCAUGAGGUAGCGUGACGAGCAACACGCUAUACCCUUGUUUCGCUCGUUGUAUAUGUACAUAGAAGCAACAUAGUUUCGCGUUUUGUACCUCCGACGAGAAAAGGAUCUAGGGAAUCGAAUUGCGGACGACGGCGCCGUAAAUCGAGCCAAAUCGGUCGUUUCUGUUUUUACGUUCGGAUAUCUUCGACACUUUGUAGCCUCUUAGCUAACCACCAUAAAUCGUUCCAUCGACAGAUGCAACAUCGGUGCAACAAGAAACAUCGCGGCGAUUUUUGCGUACGUUGCACGUCAUUUAUCUUUUUUCUUAUUUUUUUUUUUUUUUUUUCUUUGCUCCUAUACGUCCCGUUCCUAAGGGAGUCGAGUGUGGUGAAAAGACUGACAAUCGAAAGCCGUCGAACGAAAUUGAUCGCCGUAGUCGUUCCCCGUGCAUAUUUACGACAAGACUAAUGUAGCGUGAAACAAGUACCAAGGCCGAUGUAACUUAAUCAACGGAUGCAAUAACAAGGUCGUAGACUAGGUAAUAUUAAACAACAUUAUUUCGAAAUAAUUGACGGUGGUUGAUUGUUUGCUGUCGCAAGUUCAAUUUCGAACGCGUUGUUUCAACUCAUUGAACGUUUCAACGUCUAACCUACUGCUUGUUUACGAAUCAAUUCCGUUCGAUUACCGUGAUAGACAAUCUUUAUUCGAUCAAGAAAUAAUACUUCCUCGUCUACUUGAUAGAUGGCGCUGAAUAUUUUUGCGAUAUUGUAUUAUUUUUAUGAAAGUUAACACAUGCAUCUAUCGGUGUAUAUACAACAUUGCCAUGUAAUUGUAAAUAUUAGAAUAUCGUAAAGUUAGCUAUUUAAAACGUAUAAAUGUAUGAAACAUUGUAAAAAUGCGCGUGCUCAACAGAAAUACACGCACAUGCUUGUUCGAGUAAAAAUAAAUUCAGUAUUAUUACGUAUUGAUUCUAUCCUGUCGUAUUAAAGCGUCAUACUAAAAAUUACAAUAAAUGUGAAAAAAAUCUAUCGGUGAUUCAGUUUCGAUUCUGAAUUCGCUUAUUUUUAGCUGCGUUACAUUUAUUCUUUACGUGUAAGACUAAACAUAAGCAGAAUCAUGGAAAAAAAA